GACCAGAGAAGAAAGGUAUCUGUUAUUCGGUCAUCAGGCAGAUUUAUUUAGAAUUGUUUUUAAGUAAUGAUAAUCAGUAAGUUGUGGAAUGGCAAACUUUUCUUUUAAAUCACAUUUUUCUUCAUGGCAGACAACAAUAUACUUUUCAGAGUGGAUAUAUAUUUUACCAUUCCAGAAUUAUAUGAAGUCCACAUGAAACUACAGCAGAAUUUUUCUUAGGUGAGAAACAUGUGGAAAGAAAAAACGGAACAGGAAAAGGAUCAAGUACACAAAGCAGACGCCACCAAGCAGAGGCGGGUCACAGCAUGGCUCAGACUUGCUCACAGCCGUACAGCCAAGCCCGGUCUCAACAGCCAGUUAGUCGCGUGAGCUGGACAUGCCUGACCCAGGCGCCAAUGGGCUGUGUUUGCCGUCAGUAAUUCCCAAAGGCUGCUGAAUUCGGAGAGAUUUUAGUGUUUCAUGAAAAACAAAAAGGGAGAUGUUCUGUGAAUAAAUACGUUAGGAAAUGA
Molecule: long non-coding RNA, 509 nt
Organism: Manis javanica (Malayan pangolin)
Lineage: Eukaryota; Metazoa; Chordata; Mammalia; Pholidota; Manidae
Source: RefSeq, a predicted model, not a curated record